RNAcentral lists this ribosomal RNA (465 nucleotides) under Vreelandella stevensii. RNAcentral's name for it is "partial 16S ribosomal RNA". It matches the Rfam family "Bacterial small subunit ribosomal RNA", at positions 338 to 795 of the family's 1533-position model. Lineage: Bacteria; Pseudomonadati; Pseudomonadota; Gammaproteobacteria; Oceanospirillales; Halomonadaceae. The record is from RNAcentral.
CCUACGGGUGGCAGCAGUGGGGAAUAUUGGACAAUGGGGGCAACCCUGAUCCAGCCAUGCCGCGUGUGUGAAGAAGGCCCUCGGGUUGUAAAGCACUUUCAGUGAGGAAGAACGCCUGGUGGUUAAUACCCAUCAGGAAAGACAUCACUCACAGAAGAAGCACCGGCUAACUCCGUGCCAGCAGCCGCGGUAAUACGGAGGGUGCGAGCGUUAAUCGGAAUUACUGGGCGUAAAGCGCGCGUAGGUGGCUUGAUAAGCCGGUUGUGAAAGCCCCGGGCUCAACCUGGGAACGGCAUCCGGAACUGUCGAGCUAGAGUGCAGGAGAGGAAGGUAGAAUUCCCGGUGUAGCGGUGAAAUGCGUAGAGAUCGGGAGGAAUACCAGUGGCGAAGGCGGCCUUCUGGACUGACACUGACACUGAGGUGCGAAAGCGUGGGUAGCAAACAGGAUUAGAUACCCCUGUAGUC